GACGAACGCUGGCGGCGUGCUUAACACAUGCAAGUCGAACGGUAAGGCCCUUCGGGGUGCACGAGUGGCGAACGGGUGAGUAACACGUGGGUGAUCUGCCCUGCACUUCGGGAUAAGCCUGGGAAACUGGGUCUAAUACCGGAUAGGACCACUUCCUGCAUGGGUGGUGGUGGAAAGCUUUUGCGGUGUGGGAUGGGCCCGCGGCCUAUCAGCUUGUGGGUGGGGUAAUGGCGUACCAAGGCGACGACGGGUAGCCGGCCUGCGAGGGUGACCGGCCACACUGAGACGGAGAUACGGCCCAGACUCCUACGGGAGGCAGCAGUGGGGAAUAUUGCACAAUGGGCGCAAGCCUGAUGCAGCGACGCCGCGUGAGGGAUGACGGCCUUCGGGUUGUAAACCUCUUUCAGCACCGACGAAGCGCAAGUGACGGUAGGUGCAGAAGAAGGACCGGCCAACUACGUGCCAGCAGCCGCCGUAA
Molecule: ribosomal RNA, 478 nt
Filed under: uncultured bacterium
Lineage: Bacteria
Description: partial 16S ribosomal RNA
Rfam family: Bacterial small subunit ribosomal RNA
Source: RNAcentral